GUGCCAGCCGCCGCGGUAAUACGGAGGUGGCGAGCGUUGUUCGGAAUCACUGGGCGUAAAGGGCGCGUAGGCGGGGUCGGAAGUCGGGUGUGAAAGCCCCGGGCUCAACCCGGGAACGGCGCCCGAGACUCUGGCUCUUGAGUCCCGGAGAGGCGGGUGGAAUUCCUGGUGUAGCGGUGAAAUGUGUAGAGAUCAGGAGGAACACCGGUGGCGUAGGCGGCCCGCUGGACGGAGACUGACGCUGAGGCGCGAAAGCGUGGGGAGCAAACGGGAUUAGAAACCCUCGUAGUCC
This 292-nucleotide ribosomal RNA is filed under the name uncultured bacterium. RNAcentral's name for it is "partial 16S ribosomal RNA". It matches the Rfam family "Bacterial small subunit ribosomal RNA", at positions 505 to 796 of the family's 1533-position model. The record is from RNAcentral.